Molecule: ribosomal RNA, 520 nt
Filed under: uncultured Glomus
Lineage: Eukaryota; Fungi; Glomeromycota; Glomeromycetes; Glomerales; Glomeraceae
Description: SSU rRNA
Rfam family: Eukaryotic small subunit ribosomal RNA
Source: RNAcentral
AGCAGCCGCGGUAAUUCCAGCUCCAAUAGCGUAUAUUAAAGUUGCUGCAGUUAAAAAGCUCGUAGUUGAAUUUCGGGACUAAUAUGUCGGUCGUGCCUCGGUACGUACUGGUAUUUUUGGUUUCUCCCUUCUGACGAACCUUGAUGUCAUUAAUUUGGUGUCUUGGGAAAUCAGGACUGUUACUUUGAAAAAAUUAGAGUGUUUAAAGCAGGCUCACGCUUGAAUACAUUAGCAUGGAAUAAUGAAAUAGGACGUUUGAUUCCAUUUUGUUGGUUUCUAGGAUCGACGUAAUGAUUAAUAGGGGUAGUUGGGGGCAUUAGUAUUCAAUUGUCAGAGGUGAAAUUCUUGGAUUUAUUGAAGACUAACUACUGCGAAAGCAUUUGCCAAGGAUGUUUUCAUUAAUCAAGAACGAAAGUUAGGGGAUCGAAGACGAUCAGAUACCGUCGUAGUCUUAACCAUAAACUAUGCCGACUAGGGAUCGGAUGAUGUUAAUUUUUAAUGACUCAUUCGGCGCCUUACG